RNAcentral lists this ribosomal RNA (3150 nucleotides) under Triticum aestivum (bread wheat). RNAcentral's name for it is "partial small subunit ribosomal RNA". Lineage: Eukaryota; Viridiplantae; Streptophyta; Magnoliopsida; Poales; Poaceae. The record is from RNAcentral.
AUGCAGACACUCCAUUUCUCCAACUGGGGACACAGCAAGAUAUUGCACAUACCUUCCCUUGCUCUUGUGCUGUUGGUCUGCUUGGUCUCUCCUACGAGUUCCUGCACGGAGCAGGAGAAGGCCUCCCUUCUCCAGUUCCUCUCCGGGCUUUCACAAGACGGUGGCCUCGCUGCGUCCUGGCAGCAUGGCAUGGAUUGCUGCCAGUGGGAAGGGAUCACCUGCGGGCAAGAUAGGACGAUCACCGAUGUCUUGCUGGCUUCAAAGGGCCUUGAGGGGCACAUCUCAGAGUCCCUUGGGAACCUAACUGGGCUGCAGCACCUUAACCUCUCCCACAAUUCACUCUCCGGUGGUCUGCCACUGGAACUGGUAUUGUCCAGCAGCAUCCUUGUCCUUGACAUCAGCUAUAAUCAGUUCAACGGAACACUGCCAGAGCUGCCAGCUUCGACCACUGCCGGACCACUCAAGGUACUCAACAUCUCAAGCAACUUCUUUACAGGACAGUUCCCAUCCACCGCAUGGAAGGGAAUGGAGGAUCUGGUCGCGCUCAAUGCCAGCAACAACAGAUUUACUGGGCAGAUAUCAACUCAUUUCUGUAGCACCUCCCCAUCCAUCUCCGUGCUUGAUUUGUCUUUCAACCGCUUCAGUGGCAGCCUCCCCCAAGGCCUUGGUGAUUGUUCAAAGAUGAUAGAGCUCAGGGCCGGGUACAACGACCUCAGUGGAACUAUCCCAGAUGAACUCUUCAUUGCUACUUCGUUGGAAUACCUGUCUCUUUCUAACAAUCAUUUGCAUGGGGUUCUUGAAGAUGCACACAUAUUUAACCUCAGAAAUCUGUCUACCCUUGAUCUUGGAGAGAACAAUUUCAGUGGCAAGAUUCCAGAUUCCAUAGGCCAGCUCAAGAAAUUGCAGGAGCUCCAUUUGAACAACAACAAUAUGUCAGGGGAGCUGCCAUCGGCAGUGAGCAAUUGCAUAAAUCUGAUAAUAAUUGACCUCAAGAGCAACAAUUUCAGUGGAGAACUUGCCAAUGUGAAUUUCUCCAACCUGCUCAACCUAAAAACUUUAGACCUUCUGUACAACAACUUCACCGGGAAAGUUCCAGAAAGCAUAUACUCUUGCAGCAACCUGACUGCACUGCGGUUAUCUGGCAACAAAUUACAUGGGCAGCUUUCACCACGAAUAGGUGAUCUGAAGUACCUCACCUUCCUGUCACUUGGUAAAAAUUCUUUUGAAAACAUAAAAAAUGCACUUCACAUCCUUCAGAGCUGCAAGAACCUUACCACCUUGCUUAUAGGGCAGAAUUUCAUAGGAGAGCACAUGCCAGCGGAUGAGAAAAUUGAAGGUUUUGAGAAACUUCAGGUUUUGGACAUCGGAGGAUGCCCAUUGUUUGGAAAAAUACCUCUUUGGAUAUCAAAUCUAGCAAAUUUAGAGGUAUUAGUCUUAUCCGACAAUCAACUCACUGGAUCAAUACCAGCCUGGAUCAAAGCCCUAAAGCACCUCUUCUAUCUAGACAUAAGAAACAACACCCUCACAGGGGAAAUUCCAACAAUAUUGAUGGAUAUGCCAACACUAAUGUCAGAGAAGACAGAAGCUCAUUUGGACCCCAGGCUCUUCGAGUUGCCUAUUUAUAAGAGCCCAUCACUCCAAUACCGCAUACCCAUUGCUUUCCCUAAAGUGCUGGAUCUAAGCAACAAUAAAUUCACUGGUGAGAUACCUCUGGAGAUUGGUCAGUUGAAAGCUCUCCUUUCACUCAAUUUUAGCUUCAACUACUUGACAGGACAGAUUCCACAAUCAAUAUGCAAUUUAACAAACCUGCUGGUGCUAGACCUUUCCAACAACAAUCUUACAGGUGCAAUACCAGGUGCAUUGAAUAGCCUGAACUUCCUUUCAGCAUUCAACAUUUCUAACAAUGACCUGGAAGGGCCUAUUCCAUCUGGAGGGCAGUUUAAUACAUUUCCGAAUUCUAGUUUUGAUGCGAAUCCAAAGUUGUGUGGCUCUAUGCUCACUCACAAAUGCGCAUCAGCUUCAACACCUCUAGUCUCCCAAAAUCACAGAAAUAAGAAGGUUAUUUUUGCAAUCACAUUUAGUGUGUUCUUUGGAGGCAUUGCAAUUCUUUUGUUGCUCGGGCGUCUCCUCGUCUCAAUCAGGGCCAAGGGUUUAAAUGCAGAAACUAGAAGGGAUAAUGAUGGAGAUGCUGAAGCAACUUCAGUCUACUGCAGCUCAGAACAAACAUUAGUAGUGAUAAGGAUGCCACAAUUCAAGGGAGGAAAAAAAAUGCUCAAAUUCAAUGACAUUUUGAAAGCUACGAACAACUUUCACAAGGACAACAUCAUUGGAUGUGGAGGGUUCGGAUUAGUCUACAAGGCAGAGCUACCUGAUGGUUCCAAGCUAGCAAUUAAAAAGCUCAAUGGUGAAAUGUGUCUGAUGGAAAGGGAGUUCAGUGCAGAGGUCGAUGCUCUAUCCAUGGCACAACAUGAAAAUCUUGUACCGCUGUGGGGUUACUGCAUCCAGGGAAACUCAAGGCUCCUCGUAUAUUCCUACAUGGAGAAUGGCAGCCUGGAUGAUUGGCUUCAUAACAGAUAUGACGAUGCUAGCUCAUAUUUUGACUGGCCAACUCGGCUCAAGAUCGCGCAAGGAGCAAGCCUGGGCCUUUCUUAUAUCCAUGAUGUCUGCAAGCCUCAGAUUGUCCACCGUGACAUCAAAUCCAGUAACAUCCUACUGGACAAAGAAUUUAAAGCUUAUGUUGCUGAUUUUGGGCUAGCCAGAUUGAUUGUUCCCAACAGAACUCAUGUUACAACUGAGUUGGUCGGCACUAUGGGUUACAUUCCCCCUGAGUAUGGGCAAGCAUGGGUUGCUACGUUGAGAGGUGAUAUAUACAGUUUUGGAGUAGUCCUGCUUGAGCUGCUCACUGGAAUGCGACCUGUUUCAGUCCUAUCUACAUCAAAAGAACUUGUCCCAUGGGUUCUACAGAUGAGGUCUGAGGGCAAGCAGAUCGACGUCUUGGAUCCAACACUUAGAGGAACAGGGUAUGAAGAUCAAAUUCUGAAGGUGCUUGAAACCGCUUGCAAGUGUGUCGAUCAUAAUCAAUUCAGGAGGCCAGCUAUGAUGCAAGUAGUCUCCUGCCUGGCCAGUAUAGACGAUGACCUACAGAUAUAA